UGUAUAAUGAGAUCAUUGUAUGAAAAGUAGCGUCUCAGUAUAAUGCUGCAUCUUUAACUAAUCAAGUAGAAGACGGCAUUGAUCAUAUACGCAAACUUGUUGGACAUGAAGGUUCAAUCUUUCGGAUAGCCUGGUCUUUUGAUGGAACCAAAUUGGUUUCUGUCUCUGAUGAUCUGCUCGUGUCUGGGCAGUUUGUGCGGAAACAAAGCAUUCUGAGAAGCCAGGAGACCCCAUUGGCCUUGUUUUGUUUGGUCACAAUGCCCGAGUUUGGGACUGCUGUAUUCUUGGUUCAGUAAGCUUUACAAAAGUUUUU
This is a long non-coding RNA of Pyrus x bretschneideri (Chinese white pear), 313 nucleotides long. RefSeq lists it as uncharacterized. NCBI's taxonomy places the organism in Eukaryota, Viridiplantae, Streptophyta, Magnoliopsida, Rosales, Rosaceae. The transcript is spliced from 3 exons. The record is from RefSeq and is a predicted model, not a curated record.